UGCUCAGUAGUCGGUGUAGAAUC
This 23-nucleotide microRNA is filed under the name Alligator mississippiensis (American alligator). RNAcentral's name for it is "ami-miR-222b-5p". Its record names the gene ami-miR-222b-5p. The record is from miRBase by way of RNAcentral. RNAcentral also lists the same sequence under 1 other name. Lineage: Eukaryota; Metazoa; Chordata; Crocodylia; Alligatoridae.